GAUGAACGCUGGCGGCGUGCCUAAUACAUGCAAGUCGAAUGCUGAAGGAAGGAGCUUGCUCUUUCCGGAUGAGUUGCGAACGGGUGAGUAACGCGUAGGUAACCUGCCUGGUAGCGGGGGAUAACUAUUGGAAACGAUAGCUAAUACCGCAUAACAGUAGAUGUUGCAUGAUAUCUACUUAAAAGGUGCAAUUGCACCACUACCAGAUGGACCUGCGUUGUAUUAGCUAGUUGGUGAGGUAACGGCUCACCAAGGCGACGAUACAUAGCCGACCUGAGAGGGUGAUCGGCCACACUGGGACUGAGACACGGCCCAGACUCCUACGGGAGGCAGCAGUAGGGAAUCUUCGGCAAUGGACGGAAGUCUGACCGAGCAACGCCGCGUGAGUGAAGAAGGUUUUCGGAUCGUAAAGCUCUGUUGUAAGAGAAGAACGAGUGUGAGAGUGGAAAGUUCACACUGUGACGGUAUCUUACCAGAAAGGGACGGCUAACUACGUG
RNAcentral lists this ribosomal RNA (497 nucleotides) under uncultured bacterium. RNAcentral's name for it is "partial 16S ribosomal RNA". It matches the Rfam family "Bacterial small subunit ribosomal RNA", at positions 28 to 507 of the family's 1533-position model. The record is from RNAcentral.